This 28-nucleotide non-coding RNA is filed under the name Mus musculus (house mouse). The record is from RNAcentral. Lineage: Eukaryota; Metazoa; Chordata; Mammalia; Rodentia; Muridae.
UAGGAUGUAGUAGAUUUAUGAUUGAGGG